Molecule: long non-coding RNA, 270 nt
Filed under: Coturnix japonica (Japanese quail)
Lineage: Eukaryota; Metazoa; Chordata; Aves; Galliformes; Phasianidae
Description: lncRNA (ENSCJPG00005000684.1)
Source: RNAcentral
GAACAUCUGACAAGAAACAGAAAGCCACUUAGAAUGCAACCUCUGUGAAUUAUCCCUCUAAACAGAAAGGCGCCACAUUCUUGGAUCUUGCUUGGGCAGAGUGCAGUUCCUAUAAGAGAAACAAAAGUUUUUACUUGGCAGAAUGAGAAAAUUGCAUUGCGGAAAACAGGCAAUAUGCAAGUCUUCUCUGGGAUUUGCUGCUUGAGCGAAGGCUAAUCUUCACAUAUUCUGAGGGCUCACCUGUCUUUAGAAAUACAGAGUACCAUCUGA